RNAcentral lists this ribosomal RNA (253 nucleotides) under uncultured bacterium. RNAcentral's name for it is "partial 16S ribosomal RNA". It matches the Rfam family "Bacterial small subunit ribosomal RNA", at positions 524 to 776 of the family's 1533-position model. The record is from RNAcentral.
UACAGAGGGGGCAAGCGUUGUUCGGAAUUACUGGGCGUAAAGGGCGCGUAGGCGGCCUUCUAAGUCGAACGUGAAAUCCCCGGGCUCAACCCGGGAACUGCGUCCGAUACUGGCUGGCUUGAAUCCGGGAGAGGGAUGCGGAAUUCCAGGUGUAGCGGUGAAAUGCGUAGAUAUCUGGAGGAACACCGGUGGCGAAGGCGGCAUCCUGGACCGACACUGACGCUGAGGAGCGAAAGCCAGGGGAGCAAACGGG